RNAcentral lists this ribosomal RNA (868 nucleotides) under uncultured eukaryote. Its description in RNAcentral is "SSU rRNA". It matches the Rfam family "Eukaryotic small subunit ribosomal RNA", at positions 571 to 1473 of the family's 1831-position model. The record is from RNAcentral.
CAGCCGCGGUAAUUCCAGCUCCAAUAGCGUAUAUUAAAGUUGUUGCGGUUAAAAAGCUCGUAGUCGGAUGUCGGGCUCGGGCAGGCUGUCGGCCUCUGGUCGGAUGGCAGGCUCGGGUCUUCUUGCCUGGGGGCACCGUCACACUUAACUGUGGGGCGGCUGGUCGCAGGCCGUUUACUUUGAAAAAAUUAGAGUGUUCAAAGCAGGCCUACGCUUGAAUACAUUAGCAUGGAAUAAUGGAAUAGGACUUUGGUGCUAUUUUGUUGGUUUAUGGUACCGAAGUAAUGAUUAAUAGGGACAGUUGGGGCCGUUUAUAUUUCGUUGUCAGAGGUGAAAUUCUUGGAUUUACGAAAGAUAAACUUCUGCGAAAGCAUUCGGCAAGGAUGUUUUCAUUGAUCAAGAACGAAAGUUAGGGGAUCGAAGACGAUCAGAUACCGUCGUAGUCUUAACCAUAAACUAUGCCGACUAGGGAUCAGUGGAUGUCAAUUUGCGACUCCAUUGGCACCUUGUGAGAAAUCAAAGUUUUUGGGUUCCGGGGGGAGUAUGGUCGCAAGGCUGAAACUUAAAGGAAUUGACGGAAGGGCACCACCAGGAGUGGAGCCUGCGGCUUAAUUUGACUCAACACGGGGAAACUUACCAGGUCCAGACAUAGUAAGGAUUGACAGAUUGAAAGCUCUUUCUUGAUUCUAUGGGCGGUGGUGCAUGGCCGUUCUUAGUUGGUGGAGUGAUUUGUCUGGUUAAUUCCGUUAACGAACGAGACCUCAGCCUGCUAACUAGUAGCGCGAAUAUGAUUGGCGUCUACUUCUUAGAGGGACUAUUUGUGUUUAAUGAAUGGAAGUUUGAGGCAAUAACAGGUCUGUGAUGCCCA